RNAcentral lists this ribosomal RNA (475 nucleotides) under uncultured bacterium. Its description in RNAcentral is "bacterial SSU rRNA". It matches the Rfam family "Bacterial small subunit ribosomal RNA", at positions 28 to 497 of the family's 1533-position model. The record is from RNAcentral.
GAUGAACGCUAGCGGCAGGCUUAACACAUGCAAGUCGAGGGGCAGCACGGGUAGCAAUACCUGGUGGCGACCGGCGCAAGGGUGCGUAACGCGUGAGCAACAUGCCCUAUACAGGGGGAUAAUCCAGGGAAACUUGGUCUAAUAUCCCAUAGCAUUUAGAGGAGGCAUCUUCACUAAAUUAAAGCUUCGGUGGUAUAGGAUUGGCUCGCGUGACAUUAGCUAGAUGGUGAGGUAACGGCCCACCAUGGCUAUGAUGUCUAGGGGUUCUGAGAGGAAGACCCCCCACACUGGGACUGAGACACGGCCCAGACUCCUACGGGAGGCAGCAGUGAGGAAUAUUGGACAAUGGGAUGGAAAUCUGAUCCAGCCAUGCCGCGUGCAGGGAAGACGGCCCUAUGGGUUGUAAACUGCUUUUAUAUGGGACAAUAAGGUUUACGAGUAGACCGAUGAGAGUACCAUAUGAAUAAGCAUCGGA